AUGAACGCUGGCGGCGUGCCUAAUACAUGCAAGUCGAGCGAACAGACGAGGAGCUUGCUCCUCUGACGUUAGCGGCGGACGGGUGAGUAACACGUGGAUAACCUACCUAUAAGACUGGGAUAACUUCGGGAAACCGGAGCUAAUACCGGAUAAUAUAUUGAACCGCAUGGUUCAAUAGUGAAAGACGGUUUUGCUGUCACUUAUAGAUGGAUCCGCGCCGCAUUAGCUAGUUGGUAAGGUAACGGCUUACCAAGGCAACGAUGCGUAGCCGACCUGAGAGGGUGAUCGGCCACACUGGAGCUGAGACACGGUCCAGACUCCUACGGGAGGCAGCAGUAGGGAAUCUUCCGCAAUGGGCGAAAGCAUGACGGAGCAACGCCGCGUGAGUGAUGAAGGUCUUCGGAUCGUAAAACUCUGUUAUUAGGGAAGAACAAAUGUGUAAGUAACUAUGCACGUCUUGACGGUACCUAAUCAGAAAGCCACGGCUAACUACGUG
Molecule: ribosomal RNA, 496 nt
Filed under: uncultured bacterium
Lineage: Bacteria
Description: partial 16S ribosomal RNA
Rfam family: Bacterial small subunit ribosomal RNA
Source: RNAcentral